GCGGGCGUGGUGAAAUUGGUAGACGCGCCGGACUCAAAAUCCGGUUCCGCAAGGAGUGUCGGUUCGAGUCCGACCGCCCGCA
This is a transfer RNA of 82 nucleotides. It matches the Rfam family "tRNA". Rfam says of the family: Transfer RNA (tRNA) molecules are approximately 80 nucleotides in length. Their secondary structure includes four short double-helical elements and three loops (D, anti-codon, and T loops). Further hydrogen bonds mediate the characteristic L-shaped molecular structure. tRNAs have two regions of fundamental functional importance: the anti-codon, which is responsible for specific mRNA codon recognition, and the 3' end, to which the tRNAs corresponding amino acid is attached (by aminoacyl-tRNA synthetases). tRNAs cope with the degeneracy of the genetic code in two manners: having more than one tRNA (with a specific anti-codon) for a particular amino acid; and 'wobble' base-pairing, i.e. permitting non-standard base-pairing at the 3rd anti-codon position. The record is from Rfam.